RNAcentral lists this transfer RNA (73 nucleotides) under Planctomycetia bacterium. Its description in RNAcentral is "tRNA-Met". It matches the Rfam family "tRNA". Rfam says of the family: Transfer RNA (tRNA) molecules are approximately 80 nucleotides in length. Their secondary structure includes four short double-helical elements and three loops (D, anti-codon, and T loops). Lineage: Bacteria; Pseudomonadati; Planctomycetota; Planctomycetia. The record is from RNAcentral.
GGCAGUGUAGCUCAGUUGGUAGAGCAGCGGGGUCAUAAUCCGCUUGUCGGGGGUUCGAGUCCCUCCGCUGCUA